This 200-nucleotide unclassified non-coding RNA is filed under the name Hevea brasiliensis (rubber tree). The record is from RNAcentral. Lineage: Eukaryota; Viridiplantae; Streptophyta; Magnoliopsida; Malpighiales; Euphorbiaceae.
CACGGCAACUGAGAUUGCAGAUGAAUGUGGAGGCUUACCUCUUGCUAUUGUAACUAUUGCAAAGGGAUUAAAAAACAAAGGGAGAAUCAAAUGGGAUGAUAUGCUCCAACAACUAAAGAAUUCUAACCUGCAAGGCGUAUCAAGAGAUGUGUUUUCCAGAAUUGAAUUAAGUUACAAGCUUUUGGAAGCCGAAGAGGCCG